This is a long non-coding RNA of Salvelinus namaycush (lake trout), 287 nucleotides long. RefSeq lists it as uncharacterized. The transcript is spliced from 2 exons. NCBI's taxonomy places the organism in Eukaryota, Metazoa, Chordata, Actinopteri, Salmoniformes, Salmonidae. The record is from RefSeq and is a predicted model, not a curated record.
CUUUUCUGUUUUCAGGUGAUGAAGCUGUGAGUGAAUACAGCUCCCCGUGUGCAGAGAGUGACGAAGUCAAUGAAGUGUGACAGACACUGGACCUGGACCCGACCAAGUGCUUUCAUGUGUAGGAAGUCAUGUGUUUUUUUUAGGCAGAGCUCAUAGAACCUCUCCAUUUAUUUGGUUUGAUGCUUGUAGUUCCUGGUAACACAUUGACUAACUCGUGAUCUGUUUUUAAUAUUGUAAGUGAACAAAAACAUUUUAAUACAUGGUCAUAGAUGGGCCGUAGGAUUUGA